UACGGAGGAUGCAAGCGUUAUCCGGAAUGAUUGGGCGUAAAGCGUCCGCAGGUGGCUAUGUAAGUCUGCUGUUAAAGAGCAAAGCUUAACUUUGUAAAAGCAGUGGAAACUACGUAGCUAGAGUGCGUUCGGGGCAGAGGGAAUUCCUGGUGUAGCGGUGAAAUGCGUAGAGAUCAGGAAGAACACCGGUGGCGAAGGCGCUCUGCUAGGCCGCAACUGACACUGAGGGACGAAAGCUAGGGGAGCAAACGGG
This 253-nucleotide ribosomal RNA is filed under the name uncultured bacterium. RNAcentral's name for it is "partial 16S ribosomal RNA". It matches the Rfam family "Bacterial small subunit ribosomal RNA", at positions 524 to 776 of the family's 1533-position model. The record is from RNAcentral.